GUGAGGAAUAUUGCGCAAUGGAGGCAACUCUGACGCAGCCAUGCCGCGUGCAGGAAGAAGGCGCUACGCGUUGUAAACUGCUUUUAACCGGGAAGAAACCCCAGGACGUGUCCUGGGUUGACGGUACCGGAGGAAUAAGCACCGGCUAACUUCGUGCCAGCAGCCGCGGUAAUACGAAGGGUGCAAGCGUUAUCCGGAUUCAUUGGGUUUAAAGGGUGCGUAGGCGGAGCGUUAAGUCAGUGGUGAAAUCCUGCAGCUUAACUGUAGACUUGCCAUUGAUACUGGCGCUCUUGAGUGCGCUUGAAGUGGGCGGAAUGUGCCGUGUAGCGGUGAAAUGCUUAGAUAUGGCACAGAACACCAAUUGCGAAGGCAGCUCACUAAGGCGAUACUGACGCUGAGGCACGAAAGCGUGGGGAUCGAACAGGAUUAGAUACCCUAGAAGUCC
RNAcentral lists this ribosomal RNA (445 nucleotides) under uncultured bacterium. RNAcentral's name for it is "partial 16S ribosomal RNA". It matches the Rfam family "Bacterial small subunit ribosomal RNA", at positions 354 to 796 of the family's 1533-position model. The record is from RNAcentral.